Molecule: ribosomal RNA, 251 nt
Filed under: Klebsiella quasipneumoniae subsp. similipneumoniae
Lineage: Bacteria; Pseudomonadati; Pseudomonadota; Gammaproteobacteria; Enterobacterales; Enterobacteriaceae
Description: partial 16S ribosomal RNA
Rfam family: Bacterial small subunit ribosomal RNA
Source: RNAcentral
GGGGAGUACGGCCGCAAGGUUAAAACUCAAAUGAAUUGACGGGGGCCCGCACAAGCGGUGGAGCAUGUGGUUUAAUUCGAUGCAACGCGAAGAACCUUACCUGGUCUUGACAUCCACAGAACUUAGCAGAGAUGCUUUGGUGCCUUCGGGAACUGUGAGACAGGUGCUGCAUGGCUGUCGUCAGCUCGUGUUGUGAAAUGUUGGGUUAAGUCCCGCAACGAGCGCAACCCUUAUCCUUUGUUGCCAGCGGU